This 492-nucleotide ribosomal RNA is filed under the name uncultured bacterium. RNAcentral describes it as "partial 16S ribosomal RNA". It matches the Rfam family "Bacterial small subunit ribosomal RNA", at positions 29 to 507 of the family's 1533-position model. The record is from RNAcentral.
AGUGAACGCUGGCGGUAGGCCUAACACAUGCAAGUCGAACGGCAGCACAGUAAGAGCUUGCUCUUACGGGUGGCGAGUGGCGGACGGGUGAGGAAUACAUCGGAAUCUACUUUUUCGUGGGGGAUAACGUAGGGAAACUUACGCUAAUACCGCAUACGACCUACGGGUGAAAGCAGGGGAUCUUCGGACCUUGCGCGAUUGAAUGAGCCGAUGUCGGAUUAGCUAGUUGGCGGGGUAAAGGCCCACCAAGGCGACGAUCCGUAGCUGGUCUGAGAGGAUGAUCAGCCACACUGGAACUGAGACACGGUCCAGACUCCUACGGGAGGCAGCAGUGGGGAAUAUUGGACAAUGGGCGCAAGCCUGAUCCACCCAUACCGCGUGGGUGAAGAAGGCCUUCGGGUUGUAAAGCCCUUUUGUUGGGAAAGAAAAGCAGCAGGUUAAUACCCCGCUGUUCUGACGGUACCCAAAGAAUAAGCACCGGCUAACUUCGUG